GACGAACGCUGGCGGCGUGCUUAACACAUGCAAGUCGAACGCUGAAGCACCAGCUUGCUGGUGUGGAUGAGUGGCGAACGGGUGAGUAAUACGUGAGUAACCUGCCCUUGACUCUGGGAUAAGCCCGGAAAACUGGGUCUAAUACUGGAUGCUACAUGUCACCGCAUGGUGGUGUGUGGAAAGGGUUUACUGGUCUUGGAUGGGCUCACGGCCUAUCAGCUUGUUGGUGAGGUAAUGGCUCACCAAGGCGACGACGGGUAGCCGGCCUGAGAGGGUGACCGGCCACACUGGGACUGAGACACGGCCCAGACUCCUACGGGAGGCAGCAGUGGGGAAUAUUGCACAAUGGGCGAAAGCCUGAUGCAGCGACGCCGCGUGAGGGAUGACGGCCUUCGGGUUGUAAACCUCUUUCAGCAGGGAAGAAGCCACAAGUGACGGUACCUGCAGAAGAAGCGCCGGCUAACUACGUG
This 470-nucleotide ribosomal RNA is filed under the name uncultured bacterium. RNAcentral describes it as "partial 16S ribosomal RNA". It matches the Rfam family "Bacterial small subunit ribosomal RNA", at positions 28 to 507 of the family's 1533-position model. The record is from RNAcentral.